Molecule: long non-coding RNA, 646 nt
Organism: Drosophila mojavensis
Lineage: Eukaryota; Metazoa; Arthropoda; Insecta; Diptera; Drosophilidae
Exons: 2
Source: RefSeq, a predicted model, not a curated record
AUCGAUAUUUUUAGCCGAUAUUUGUGGCAUCCUAAUUAAAUAAAAUUUCUCAGUAUUUAAAGUAAAGUUAGUUUCUUAUAUGUUAGAAUAAUAAUAUAAUAUAAAUAGAAGAAAUAACUAGUUGUUCAAUAAUUGUCCCAGCUAUUUAUUUUUAUUCUCAUCUUCUCAUAUUUGUGUAAUCGUCUAUGAGAAGCAACUGGUGGCAUCUACAAGUAUUUGAUUGCCGGUGGUGGAAACAGAUUGUUAUUUAUGAUUUAUAAUUUUGCUUAUAUGUAAUAAUAUUUUGUAUUAUUUUUUAAAAUCUCUAAAAGGUAAUUGAAAUAUAUAUUUAUCAAUUAUAGUAAUGCAAAUACACAAUUUUGACGGACUGAUAAGAAUGGAAUAAAAAUGCUCUUAAUUGGGCUGAUUCAAAACAUUUCUAAUAAGACAAGCACACAGUCUAUACUGUUUGACUAGGCAAUAAUUUCAAUGAUUUUAUUACGAACAUACUGCAAGUGAUCAUCUCGAAGGCUUGGUACCUCUCAUAUGGUAAUAAAUUUGGGUGCUUUUAUUAAAUAUUUAAAAAAGUAUUCUUAUAAAUUUAAAUAUUUAACAUGUGUCAAUGCUAGAAAUACAGAUUUCCAAUUAGGAUUUACCUUGCACUGCG